This 253-nucleotide ribosomal RNA is filed under the name uncultured bacterium. RNAcentral describes it as "partial 16S ribosomal RNA". It matches the Rfam family "Bacterial small subunit ribosomal RNA", at positions 524 to 776 of the family's 1533-position model. The record is from RNAcentral.
UACGAAGGGGGCUAGCGUUGUUCGGAAUUACUGGGCGUAAAGCGUGCGCAGGCGGCUGUGCAAGACCGAUGUGAAAUCCCCGGGCUUAACCUGGGAAUGGCAUUGGUGACUGCACGGCUAGAGUGUGUCAGAGGGGGGUAGAAUUCCACGUGUAGCAGUGAAAUGCGUAGAGAUGUGGAGGAAUACCGAUGGCGAAGGCAGCCCCCUGGGAUAACACUGACGCUCAUGCACGAAAGCGUGGGGAGCAAACAGG